GGCUGGUCUGAAGGUAGAGAAUUAUCUCACUUUACUGUUCACAAGUCAGUUACAGACUAAACUCCCUGUUAUGCUCUUUCCUUUCUUCUCAUUAUAGCACUUGACUAGUCUUUA
This is an unclassified non-coding RNA of Otolemur garnettii (small-eared galago), 114 nucleotides long. It matches the Rfam family "Y RNA". From Rfam's summary of the family: Y RNAs are components of the Ro ribonucleoprotein particle (Ro RNP), in association with Ro60 and La proteins. The Y RNAs and Ro60 and La proteins are well conserved, but the function of the Ro RNP is not known. The record is from Ensembl. Lineage: Eukaryota; Metazoa; Chordata; Mammalia; Primates; Galagidae.